GCUGGCUUUAUGAGGAGGGCCUAUGGUCUUUGCUGUUGCCAUGGACAUUCCCUAGCAAGGCAGCAGAGAUCUGAUUCAGCAGGAAUGACUCUUGCUCUUGUUAUCCACAGAAAAUCCUUUGAGUUUGAGGAUGCAUCCAGUCUCCAGUCCCUGUACCCCUCUUCUCCCACUGAGAAUGGUACUGAGAACCAACCCAAGUUUGGAUCCAAAAGCACUUUAGAAGAAAAUGCCUAUGAAGAUAUUGUGGGAGAUCUGCCCAAGGAGAAUCCAUAUGAGGAUGUGGAAUUAAAGAGCCGAAGAGCAGGACG
RNAcentral lists this small RNA (308 nucleotides) under Pongo abelii (Sumatran orangutan). RNAcentral's name for it is "retained intron". Lineage: Eukaryota; Metazoa; Chordata; Mammalia; Primates; Hominidae. The record is from RNAcentral.